This is a long non-coding RNA of Salvia miltiorrhiza (redroot sage), 3119 nucleotides long. RefSeq lists it as uncharacterized. Lineage: Eukaryota; Viridiplantae; Streptophyta; Magnoliopsida; Lamiales; Lamiaceae. The transcript is spliced from 4 exons. The record is from RefSeq and is a predicted model, not a curated record.
CUCUAACUAUUAACCACGAUUGAAUUCUUCUCCCACGAUUUUAAUGAAUAUUUCUCAACAUCUGAAACCAUUUUCGUCAACUCUCUUUUCUUCUAGAUUCUAUAACCGCCGAUCCAUCGCUCACCAAACUCAAUUGAAGAUUCGGCUGCCAUUUCUUGAUCGUCAGCUGCCGCCCUAGCGCCGCCGCCUCAGACCAACGUCGCCCAAAAUGAUUUCAUAACCGCUCCUCGCUAUUCCAUCAUUCACCAAACUCAAUCGAAGACUCGGCCGCCAUUUCUCGGUUGUCAAUCGCUGCCCUAGCGUCGCCGCAUCAGACCACUGUCGCCCAAAACAGUGAGUGUGUGUCUGUGCAGACAGUGUGUGCAAAGCAAGACACAAGAUCAGUCAAUACAUUGAGGCCACUGCAUCAGAAGUUAGAGAAGUGUUUCUAAAAGUUCUGGUACUAAUUUCAAUUUCAUUUUUUUCGUAGGUUGAUUAAAAUUUAAAGUGAAUUAUUGAAACUGGAUUUUUAAAUCAAGAUCGGAUUUUAGUUUGAAAAAAACCAACAUCAAACAUGGUGGUUCACUGUUUAUCAUCUUGAAAUACUGCAACAUAGAACUUCGGCUGAUGCAGCCCUCCACGAGCGGCAGAUUCGCCAAUUGGAAGGGUGCCAUGUUGGUGUAUUUCUGUGCACCAGCGGCAGUUAUGGUUCAAGGAUUAUAUUCUCUUUUUUAUUUCAGUGCUCUUUUUAGAGGUGUUUCACUCUUCACACAUAACUGUUGGACUUAUGUUUUAAUGAUUUUUUAGAACAUAAAGUUGAAAGUAGUGUUUUACGUAUGUAUUCUGCUCCUUGGAAGAUAAGUAGUUCUAAUAUUAUUUUAUAUGUGACUUUCACUCUAUUGAUCUCAAUAUUAUCUGAGUUACCGUUGAGUUAUCGUCAUCUGCCAGUCAUGUUCUUUAAGUGAUUUUUUAGUAUACUCCAAAUAUUUUUUUAUUUAUAUUCUCUUUGAUGAAUUCUUUGAAUAUACUGUUAUUGUGAUUAUUUUAUGUUAAUUUUAUGACAACUGGAUUUUAUUACUAUUUUUAUUUGGUAGCUUGAGUUCUAACUUAAUGAUUUGGUGAAGGAAUUUGUGGAUCAGAUUAUGUAAUUAUCUGAAAAAUUGGAAGAUUACCGCUUAGCUUUCGUUGAGACUAUAUUGUCUACCAGCUUAUGCUUUUGAAUUUGUACAUUAUACUCUUUUGAUAUGUGCUCUACCUUUUCAGAUGACCACCUUAGUUGUUGUUACUUUUGUAGUUUGGAAUAUAGAAUAUUUUAUUUUUAUGGUAAGAAUAUUUUACCAAUUUUAUUUGAUGGAAUAUGAAAGCAUUUCAGCAUUGGGGAUCAUGAGAUUAUUGUGCUACGCCAUUUGAGUAAGAAAUCAUGACCUCCAUGCUAACUAACUGGUAAGUAAAAGGUAUAAAUUACUUUUUACGAAUCAUAUUUACUUAUCAUUCUCUUGAUGAUCUAAGGUAGUUUCUUUUAUUAAUUCCAGUUUUUCUCCAUUUCUUUCCACGCGUUUGAGUUAAGCUAGAAAUUAUGUAGUUUGAAUUAAGCUAACAAUUAUGUAGGAUUCGAGAGGACAACAAAAAUAUAUUAAUGACAACAAAGUUUGUGGACACAAAAAUAUAUUGAGGAAUAGUUCAUGAGUAUAUUGUAAUCAAAAUAGAGAAAUGUGAGUGUUAAUCUAUUCCAGAGUCGAACUCUGCCUCUUUUUAGAGUUUUACUAAAUUCUAACUUUAUUUUGUAUUUUUUUUGUUACGUCUUGAGAUUUUGGUUGCGAUAUACCAAUAUUUUGGGACUUGAACUCUAAAUGUAGUUUGUUUAUUGCCCUUUUAUCUUAAACUUUUUGUUACUUUAAAUCAAGUUUCAUUUGAUUGUUGACAUAAUGGUUCUAGAUUUGGAUGCCUAUUUCUCUCACGUUAUGGUCACAUUUAAGCAGUCCUUUACAUACUCACAUAUGUUUCUUCCCUCCACUUUGUUUGUACUCUAUCAUUGAUAACUAUAUAUUGAUGUUCUGAUUGUUCAAUGCACGUAAUUCUGGCCAUAUGAUCUUUAUGUUCACUAUCAUUACUAUUCUUCAUUGCUUAUUUAAUUCCUCUUUUAGGCAAAGUACUGGAAGCAAUAUGUUGAAACUCUCAUGGCCGGCAACAAUAAUGAAGCAACAAAACAAGUUUUUAGUCGCUAUCUUUUGAAUUGCUUGCAAUUUCCUCUUUCAUAUAUUUUCUGCAGUUUGCUGUUUUCUUUUGCAGUCUUGUGUUUGAUGUAGUGGUUUAUUAUCUUGUGUUAUACUGUAGAUUUUAGUGCUCAUGUCUGCCCACGUUGCAAUUCUACCCUUUCACAUGCUUUACUCAUGUUGAGACCUAACCGUACUUUCACAAUUUCUAUGCGGGCGCUGCUACAUUCGCUUGAUAAGGAAAGUUAAUGAUAAGAAGUGAUCUUGAUCCUCAAUUGGAUCAUGUGCGUCUGAGAAUGGAAUAAAUCAAUUGGAUUACUAUGUGAUGUUAACAAAUAUAUUCAGAAUUUGAGCUUUAGAAGGAAAGGCAUUUUGUCAGCAAAUGGUGGAUCAGAGAAUUUUCCAAUGAGAAUCUGUGAGGCAAGAUACCUGAUUUGCAGCCUUAGUGUAAUGGAUUCCAUUCCAGUUUAUGUAUUCUGUAGUGUCACUGCAUCCUUUGGCUGUCACCGAACUUCCAUUCAAAAUUAACUUUCAUCUCCCCGCAGGGAACCCGACUGUCGUAGUUCAGUGGGGAACCUCCAUAUCUGCAGCACGCGCCAUCAAUGCCUGCUCGAAUCCUAGAGCAUGCAGCUGCAGGUUGAAUAGCCUUGAAGCUUGAUUGUGAGAGCUGACACAUCCGAGCUCAUCUAGCUUGGAUGCGUCCCCUCCAAAUUUGGCAAUAUUUUGAGGCAGGCAGUCGAGGGGGCCCGUGUUGUGAAUCCAGAAGUUUCUAGCCCCUUCAUCGUAUAGUUUCUGCAAAUAUUUGAUUCAUCAUCUUCUUCUGAGUUAUGUAUGAUGUGUGCGAGAAAAAUAUCCAAGGAAUAGCCUGCCAACCUUAUAUUUUGAUUAUAUUAAUAUUUAUAUUUAUUUAUUUAAAAUAUUAUUUUA